RNAcentral lists this long non-coding RNA (217 nucleotides) under Capsicum annuum. RNAcentral describes it as "long non-coding RNA (CANN_LNC014268)". The record is from RNAcentral. Lineage: Eukaryota; Viridiplantae; Streptophyta; Magnoliopsida; Solanales; Solanaceae.
UGGAAAUAAGAUUCAACACUAUAAAUUAGUAAUAAGAAUAUAAAUAAUAUAAAAGCAUGCAUGAUUAAUACUACAAGACUAGCCUCCAUAAUCCAAUAAAUAUGAAAAAGUAAAUAACCCAAAAUAGGCCUUCUUAAGCUCGACGGGUGUAAUCAAAGGUAAGUAAAUAGCCAAAGAUCCAAAAAUGUACUGAAUAUAAAGCUAUAAACAUGACUCC